Molecule: long non-coding RNA, 241 nt
Filed under: Phaseolus vulgaris (common bean)
Lineage: Eukaryota; Viridiplantae; Streptophyta; Magnoliopsida; Fabales; Fabaceae
Description: long non-coding RNA (PVUL_LNC003963)
Source: RNAcentral
UUUAUCCUUCCGCCCUUCACUAUCCCUAUCCCAAUCUGAAUCUGAAUCCGUUGUUUUUAUAAUUUUUCAUUCCUUUCCUCUGGUUGGGAUUGGAUUGCAUCAUCCUUUGUCAAAAUCUGGUAGCUCACCCAACCCAACCUAGACGCAGAUGAAGACCCUGGGUUUGUUGGUGGCUCUUGUUCUUUGAUUUUACCACAGAUUCCUCUAUUUUUUUAUCUGUUUCCUUCUCCUCAUGUUCAUG